RNAcentral lists this long non-coding RNA (15477 nucleotides) under Equus caballus (horse). RNAcentral's name for it is "lncRNA (ENSECAG00000044996.1)". The record is from RNAcentral. Lineage: Eukaryota; Metazoa; Chordata; Mammalia; Perissodactyla; Equidae.
GGACAUGAGUCUUCACGACAAAAUUUCAAACCUCUUUCAUAAUUAUUCAUUUUUAUCUUAAAAAACAUGUUGGUAGUAUUCAGUCCCAAAUUUCCAAACCUUGUGCUCCUCCUUCGCUGCGAUGUUAUCAUUUGGAAGGGAAAUCUGGCCACAAAACUGUUAUGUUAAGCACUUUUCCACAGGAACUUAUUGCUUUAAUAAGUUGGGAGAAUGCUCUUGAAGAAAAAAAAUAGUCGUUGAAGAUUCAUUAGAGGAAGAAAAAAAAACCUACUUGAUUCUCCAUGGAAUUCACAGUUUCCUUGCUGUGGAAUGCUGCACAUACCCUGAGGUCCUAGCAAGGAGUCAGAGUGAGACAGCCACUCACCAGCGGAAAGAGAAUUUUAUGUUCUCAGGCACAGCACAGAAUGAUGAAAGUGUGUAUACCCGGCAGUACUUCCAAUAUCCCCGUGGACUGGGGAUUCCAAGAUAAACAACGCCUCACGCAGCUUGACUGGACUCAGCUGGGUAGUUCUCGAUUGGGAUCUUCAUGAAGUUACAGUCAUUUGGCAACCAGAACUGGAGUCACCUGAAGAAUUGGAUGGGCUGCGUGUUCAAGAGAGCUACUUUACUCACAUUACUGGGCCAACAGGGCUUGCCCUUUAAACUGAAGACCCAUGGAGGUCAAACUUCAGGUCGAAAUCCAGAGUGGAGGUGAAGAGAGAAGGCCAAUUCGUGGGCGCCAGAGCCAAGCACUUCUGCCACAUCACAGACUAGGUCGGGGACCCCUCCUGCAGAGAGCCCACUGCUGCCAUUUCUCACAAAGUGCUUUGGACCAGUCCCGAAGGACUCCGGUUGCAAGGCUGAUUUUGUGAUCUGAGUUGUCAUAUGAUAUUGUAUCUAUUGUCGUGUUUGUUAUUUUCUGUAGGUCCUUAUUAAGAUCACUGUUAUUAUCCACCAGAGCAAUGUUCCGGGGGCUAUGUAAGGGGUAUUAUAAUGUGCGCAAAGAACAAAAACUCAACGGGGAACUUCCAGAUGAAAGACUUGAUAUGGGACAGCACAGGCCAAAACAAUAGGGACGGAUGCACGGUAGUCGUACACAAAGGGUUAGGUGAUUACUGUAAGAGGAAGCGCUUUGAAGAACAGGUGGGCAUGGAGGAGGUUUUUGAAAGUGGAGAAGGAUGUGUUAUUGCAAACAUGUUAUUGUUUGAGUUUAAUGGAGGAUUCAACAACAUUUUUAAAAAAUCAAAGCGACUAUUGGACCUAAAACUCUGAGACUCACUGAAAGACAUAAAAGGCAUAUAGGCAAGAGGAUAGUUUUAUCGCAGUUGAUUUAAAGACCAAAUGUUAUGGGAGUGACCACUCCUUACCCUUCGUUAUAAUGCAAAUGGCCAAAUGUCAGCUACUUUUGCUUAAUUAGGAGACUUGCAAAUGUCCGCUUGGGUUUCUUGAACUUGAGCUUGGGUCUCUGCAUCCUUGGGAUACUCAGGGACCCUCUGAAACCUCUGGGAGCAUGAACUUACCCCGAGUUUCAGGAGGUGAGGCCCCCAAGUGAACUGAGGUAAGAUGGUCUUCAAGGUUGGUAUGGAUAGGAAGCUGAUUCCACUCGAGAACUGGGUUUUUUUUGAAACACAAAUCAAAGUCAGGUCAUCACCUGUGGUCAUGCUAAAUGUUCAGAUUUUGGACUGAAUUCUGCAGGUCAUGCCUCCUGUAGCCCCAGGUUGGCUGUAAGAUUGACAGGCAGGCAGAAGUAUUGGUUGCUUUCAGAGAUCCAUGAGAUUUAGAAACUGGAUUCAGCUGACUCAUCAUAAUACUCUCAACAAAGUUUGCACGAGAAUCCCCACUUACAGAUGGGAAGGGGAAGCUGGGCUCAUGUAAAUUUUAAGUAGUGGAAUAUGGGUUUGAACUCCGGCUCAUUUGACUUUGAGGCUCUUUGUACUACCCCAUUGUUGGUUCUUAGAGUAUGAUCCCUGGUCUGAUAGGCUCAGCAUCCUCUGGGAGCUUGUUAGAAAUGCACAUUCUUACAUAGGAGGCUUUGCAGAAAUAUGAACAAAUGAUUAGCCUCAUCUUUUCAGGCUAUGCUCUGCCCAAUAGACUUUUGAGGUCACCACAGAUCUACUGAACCAGAAUCUCUGGGCAGGGAGUCCAACAAUCUGUGUUUUAGUAAGACUUCCAGCUGUUUCUGAUGCACACUAAAGUCUGAGAACCACACACUCCAUCCAACCAGCUCUGCAGAACUUACAGUCUUCAGAAUCAUUCUGGGAUCCUGGUAUAUAAACUAGGAGAACAGGACACAGUGUAGGACCUGGCAAGAUCUCCACACACAAAUGCUAUCCAUGUCUUUAGUGCCACUAGGUCAAGUGCAGAACAAUUUGAAUUCCUUAGGAGAAGACACUUUGAUAUUAUGGGAUUAGGCAUAGUUCUUCAUUAUCAGCUGAAACAUAAUAAAAUCAUAUGCAGAUUAGAUUAACUAAGAGAGACAAUCUAAGACAGGCAACCAAUGGUGUUUAUCUCAGAGCAGUAAAAGCUAUUGUUUCCUCAAGAUAGCUAUUGCUCUGCCCUGUAUUUUCAAAUUUAUAAGGUGACUUUUAUACACUAAAUUCUAAAUCCUCGUCGGAAUUUUUAAUCAGUUUAUCUUUUAUUUUAAAUAUAAGUCAUGCAAUUAGUGGUCAGGGCUCCUCAAAAGUGUCAGAGAUUAAAAAGAGAUGUCAUACCUAAAUGAAAUAAGUGAUCUUAGAUUGGAUACAUCCAAGGAAGGACGUGAAAACCCAUUGCACUUUUAUUAGUGCUCCAAUUGUCCCAUCUUUGACCUCUUCAGGCUAGAUCUUUGAGUGUUUUUGAUAUAAUUUCACUGGUCUUUGAUAAUUCCCUGGCUUCCUGCUAAACCAACAUUGUUUUGUUUUUUGCAUAUACGAUUAUUUUCUUUUCUUCUCUCUCUUUGCUGCUUAUUGUAUUUUAGCUUUGAUAAUGGUUUUCAUUUCAAUGUUUCUGGGAUUUUACUGUAAAACAUCUGUACUAUAAGUAAACAACCCAUUCAUAUAAAUACAUUCUAAACCAACAACUCUUCAGGCGUCAUUUUGGCAACAUAUGUUAAAAAUGUUUGUAAAAUAUUCAGGCUCUUUGGCAGAGAACAUAUAUUUCUGAGAGUCUAUCCUAAAGAAAUACUCACGAAUUUGGAAAAAACCUUUGUAUACAACACAGCAAUAUUAUUUUUAAAAGCAAAAAAAAGUGACAAAAACAAAAACUGAGACCUAUAAUCCUAAAGUCAACAAAGUGGGAUGAAUAAAGUGAAUAAAAUGCAGUAUUUAAAUAUGUAAUUAGGAAAAUAGUUUAGCAUCUUGAAAAAGUACUUAUAUAAUUAAAUGUGUAAAAGCACAACACAAAGUUGUAUAUACACCAUAUUACAAUUUAAAAUACAUAUGCCUAUGAUAAAAAUAUUUCAGAUGAUAAACAUGAAUGAUUGUAUUUGUAGGCUAAUGGUACAAAAAAGUUUUUUUGGUUUAUCAAAGUAUCUGUAAUGCUAUCAUAUUACUUUUACAAUUUUGAUAAAAUUAUUUAAAAGAGUCAGCCCUGUGGCAUAGCGGUUAAGUUCAGUGUGCUCCACUUUGGUGGUCCAGGUUCGUGGGUUCAGAUUCAGGGCACAGCAUUACAACACUCAUCAGGCAUGCUGUGGUGUUGACCCACAUACAAAAUAGAGGAAGAUAGGCACAGACAUUAGCCCAAGGCUAAUCUUCCUCAAGCAAAAAAAGAGGAAGAUUGGCAAUGGAUGUUAGCUCAGGGCAAAUCUUCCUCACCAAAAAGAAAAAGAAAGGAAAAAAAUUACUCAAACCAUUCAAAAUGGCCCUGGUAUAAGAAUGGUUGAAAUAUGUUGACCAUUUCUUUAUUAUAAUUGUUCAUCACUUCAUUUUUUAUAGUCUGAGAAUACUACCUGAAUUAAAAGCAAAAAAAAAAGAACCACUCUGAGCUCUCUUACAAACACUUGCACUUUUGCUUUGCAUGGCCACUUCCACAGUUUCCCUCCUUCUGAGCAGCUCAUCCACUGUGUGACACUUACACUGCCCACUAUGUGAACCUUUCUUGACUCCAUUUGUCUGGGACAACUCUUGCUGAAAAGCAAGUGCUAUUAUUGCUUGUUUAUACAACUGCAUCUUAGAGACGGAAUGAAGUGGAACACAGUUGUGUUUUUCAUUGAAGCUCAUUAAAUACACACAGAUAGAGAUAAAUACAUAGCUAGAUAAAUACAUAGCUAAAAUCCAUUGAGGCAAUCAAUAGAUUCAGAUCUUUCUAGGCUACUGAAUCUAUGUCUCAAAUCAAGAUCACACUAAUCAUAUAAAUUCAGUCAAUUGUUAUUAAAUUUUGAUUCGAAGUCCCAUAUGCCUUUUAUUUUACAUCUCAAUUAUGGGUUGAACUUAAUGAAAGUAUGACCACUAAAUCUUGGAACUCUAAAGCUGACACUGUCCAAAGGAGUCUCUCCAAUCACACCUGAGGAUGGGAUAGAAAAAUACUGGGUUCCUGGCAGGAAAAAUUGGAUGUGAAGCAUGUUUGGACAAUCACGUGUAAAGUUGGGUGCCCUUAGACAUGUCCCAAUUUCUCCUUUUCUUCACUUAAAAAAAAUGGGUUAUAAAAACUUGUGCAUGUUUUGUACUCAUUUGAGUUCAUAGUGGGGAAAGCAAACUAAAAAUUGUGAGAUACAGGGGCCAGCCUGGUGGCAUAGUCAUUAAGUUCACCUGCUCUUCUUUGGUGGCCUGGGGUUCAUGGGCCCAGAUCCUGGAUGCAGACCCACACACUGCAUAUCAAGCCAUGCUGUGGUGGCGUCCCACAUACGAAACAGAGGAAGAUGGGCACAGAUGUUAGCUCCAGGACCAUCUUCCUCAGCAAAAAGAGAAAGAUCGGCAACAGAUGUUAGCUCAGGGUUUAUCUUCCUCACAAAAAGAAACAACAAAAAAAGUGUGAGAUACAAAUGUAAGGAGUCACUUUUCUUAUUGAACUCAGGAAGAUGGAAUUCAGUUUAAAUUUUUUUGCACUGUUUUUUUUCCCCAUUGCUUUUUCUUCAUUUUUUUGUUUUGUUAAUUUUAUAAUUUUAUCACAUUUUUAGGGUUUCUGAGAGUGGGAAGAGGCCAUCCAGAGAAAUUCCGUGACCCCCAACUCACUCUCUGGAUUCAACAAAAUAGUAACAAUUAAAAGAGAACACAAAAAAGGUGUGUUUCAUGUUUAUGAGUUUACAAACCAUACCUCCUACAUGUUUGAAGCGUCAUUUUUGCUUUCACAUCUAAGGGUUUACACCCAUCUUCAUGUACUUGUUGUAGUUACUUUCAUUGAUCAAGCAAAAUGACAAAAUCUUGUCAGAUUCGAUGUGUGCUGCCAUUGCCAAAACCUUGCUUAUUUGUCCAUUUUCUGUGCUUUGACAGCAGGCUGCACACACUCCUCACCCAUAAAACUUUGGAGCCUAUGCUGAAACAAUCCAGUGUUUUUCUUCUCUGUCCUCACUUUAAGUUUCUUGAUAGCAGGGACCAUUUUUUUUCAAGUAUACAAUUCCAGGACCCAGCAUGGUUUCCAGCUGAUUCUAAGCAAUUGAGGAAUAUUUCUGCAAAGUCUUUUGAGGAGAUAGUUGACCAAAUGAAUUGGAACAAGAAACACUGGAUAUAAAUUGAAGAUUGGUGGAGAUGAGAGAAGGCCUUAAAUACAUGGUCAAAUUCUUCAGACUUUAUCCGAAAACAAUAAAUAUUUAUUGAGAUUGGUGGAAGAAGGGUUUUAUGAAGACUAAUCAGGUGGAAAGCAGUACAAGUCCUGGAUAAGGAAGGAAGCCAGGAGAUAUUGUGCAAAUUAAUAGGAGCCUCAACUCCAAUUGUAGAUGUGGGAAUAAAAAUUCAGGGAAAGAGAAAAAAGAUGUUACCGAAGAAACAUCAAAUUACCAUUGUGAUUCCAUCUUUAAAUGUCAGCCGUUCUUUUUCAGGUGCUAUGGUAAGAUUUCAAAGGUGAAGCCUAUUUUGUUAGCUUUAGUUACACUGGACUUGGUCUAAGUUCUAGAAAUCUUGAUGAACUAGAUAUGAAUAUGUGGCAAUGGGUUUGUUCUUUAGUUGACAGAGCUAUUUAAACGAGAAUUUCAUAUCAGUGGUAUGGAUGCCACUCUCCAUAGCCACAUUUAUCAGACCAGUUGAGCAUUGAUCUAAAAGAUAUCAUUUUGAUGACAUGAAUUGGAUACGUACUUUGGUAUUUUUUAACUGAGAAAAAUUAUCUUAUAACAAAGAUUUAUCGACAUUUACUACCAUCUUUAACGUCUGCAAACCAAACGUAUUUUGGAUCUUCAUUUAGCAAAAGAAAAUAAACAAAUUUAUUAAAUCCCAAAGGAAAACAACAUAUAGGAGAAGAAGAAAAAAUAGGCAACUGAUUGAUUAAAUUCAACAGGGUCUUCGUUUUUCACUCAUUAAUGUAUGUUUAAGUGUCUUUCGGUUUUAAGUAAAUUUCAGGUUGAAUCACAUGUAACUGCUAGGAACCUCUCCACCACAGAAUCCCACGGCCAGAGUCAUUUCAAUUAAUUAAGUGUUGCAGACUUUAGUAACAAUUUUAGGCUGCAGAAUGAAAUUAUUUCAUGAAGUGGCAAGUUCCUCAUGUGCUUUUUUCUCCCUUCAUCCGGAUUACGGCAGGCAGAAAUUGAAUUUUGUCAGUAGAUUAAAAAAAGCCUUAUGCCUGGAAUGACUUCAAACAAAUCUGAUGACUUGUGUAAAAAAGGAACGGGAAAUAAACAAAUAAUCACAUAGAAUCAAAAGUAAUUCACUCCCAAUGGAGAGCUUCUUGCAACUUUCUGAUAUGUGGUUAAGAUCACAUUUUCUUUGCAUAAAAAGUAUCAGGCAUAUAAAUGGAUGAAUUUGGUUGUCAAAGAGAAGUAUCAUAAACUUCCCCAUCUUUUUAAAGUUUAUAAAAUAUUGAAGAAAAAUCAGUUUCUUGUUCGAUUCUUAAUACCUAAUGUACAAAACAAUUUAAAGGCAAAAUAAGAAAAAAAAAAAACCCAAACGAUCUAUAAAUAUAUUUUGAAUUCAUAUGUGAAGCCCAACACUGUACUAGUUGAAGUCAAGAAUACUAGGAGGGCUAUGAUCUUCUACUCAGGUAGUUUAUAGUCUUGUUCGUUAUUCAAGAUGUGUACAUAGACAACACUUAAAAAUAAAGGCAGUAUGUAAUAAACAACUUAUGCAGUGAAAGGGAGGAGGAUAUGAAAGAGAUGAGACAACUAAAAUUAUUCACUGCUUACUUUCUGACAGACCUUGUGCUAAAAGUUCUAACUAAAAAAACAAUUUCAUUAUUUUUCUACCAAAAAAAGUAAUGAAAAUAAUUUUUGCUACAUAUUCUAAAAUUCGGAAAAUAUGUGGGAAUAAAGGAAUUGAAAAUCUCCUGUAAAUUCACUAUUUACCAACAUUAAAAUCUUAAUGUAUGGCAUUUCUUCCAGAAUUAUCUAUGAUAAUUGCAUAUCAAUAUAUAUCAAUCAUAUCACAUAAGCAAUUUAACUGAAGUUUUCACUUAACAAUAUCAAGAGCACUUUUCCAAGUCAUUAAAUAUUUUUCUAUGAUAUUAUUGUAAAUCUCUAAAACAUUCCAUUUUAUGGAUAUGCCAUCAUUUAUUUAACUAAUCUACUAGGAACUCUUAAAUUAUCUCAUUUAAUUCCAGCAAUCUCUGAUUUUAAAAGUAUUUUCCCACCUCACGCAUCUAUAUUAUAAUACCAUAGUUAUUUACUAUAUUAAAUUGCUAUUAUAUAUAUAUAAUUACUAGAGCAGUGACAAAAAAUUAAUGUUGUAUCAGAAAUAUGAAGAAACUUGAAGGGUUGUCGCUCUUCACAUGAGUCUAAAUUCCUAGAAGAUGGUAUCUGUAUGCCAGCCAUCCUCUUGGCUAGUGUGAUGCACAUGGUAGAAUCAACAGAUAUUCCUGAUUGAUAACAUAACUUUAUAUCAAGUACAAAUAUUCUCUUCUUUGUGCAUGUACACUGGGAAUAAAGAAAGAACGGGCUGCCUUAAUUGAUGUAUUAACUUGCCAACUGGCUACGUAAUAAAAGAAGUAGAGAAUUGGCACUAGACAAGUAAAAUUUUUACUUUGGAAGCUAAAGAGACAAAAUACAAAGAAAGAAAGAAGUCAAUUGGCUCAAACACAUGGAAAUUAAAGACAGAACAUUGUAUUUGAUGGAAUUCCAUAAAAGAGGGUGGUGGUGUAAUUAAACCCAGAGAAAAGAGAAGAGAUAGCAGGGUAACAGUAUUCAAACAGGAACAGUACUAGGAGUUAUGCUAGAGGGAAGGUGAGGGAGGACUUUGGUUUCUAACCAAGGGGAUGUAACAGGGGACAGAUUUACUCUCUUGCCUGAAACAACCAAAAAAUCCAGACAGAAUUGAUGAAAGCAAUGGUUUCCAUAAUAUUGGAUGCCAGACAGAAGAACAGUAAUGUCUAAGAGAUAGGAAACAAACACGGUGAAUCCUCUGCCUGCCUCAGCUUACUGCCUUGAGGGAGUUUCCAGGCUGUGGACAGCGAGAGGAAGCCAGGCAGAGCAUGGCUGACUUCCAGAGCUGAGGAGACAGAGAUGAACGUCUGGAGAGACUAGUUUGUUGAGAGUUCACAGGACAGGAACCAUAAAGUAGAGAGCUAUACGAAGAGAGAAUUCCAGAGAUCUGCAGAGGGCUCCCCGAGCAUUUAGCAGAAUAUUGAUCAGCACAUGUGUGUGAAGAAACUACCCAAUGCUGAGAACCACCUGAAAGGAACAGAGGGAACAGUAUCCAACAUGGCACCCUUUCAUCCAGGGUUGAAAAUUGUGCUUGCUCCCUAUUACCAGGCUGGGAAACUUCAUAAUUCAUAAAUUAUUGGAUAGAGUACUUGGAAGAGGCUUGCCUUAGUAGUGAGGAAUAAUUGGCCCUAGAUACUGUUCUGGCCUUGCCUGGCAAGCAUUAAAAGUAAGACUCAAAAAGAUGAGACUGUUUCCAAGUAAUUUAACUGCAUCCUAGAACAAGAGCUCAAGAAUAUUUAUAGGAAUACAAAAUGACUCAACAAGGUAAAAUUCACAAUGUCUGGCAUCUAACCAAACAUUCCUCAAAAGGCAAGCAAACCAGAAAAUAGGAAUCCUUUUCCUGAGAAAAAUCGAUCAAUUAAAACUAACCUAGAACUGACACCUAUUUUAGACUUUUCAGACACAGCCAUUAAAACAAAUAUACUGUAUUUAAUAUGUUCAAAUGGUAAGUAUUAACAUGGAGAUAUAACAAAGUCCCAAAUCUAAAUUCUAGGGGCCAGCUCAGUGGUGCAGAGGUUAAGUUUGUAUGCUCUGCAUUGGCGGCCUGGGGUUCACAGGUUUGGAUCUCGGGUGUGGACCUAUGCACUGCUUGUCAAGCCAUGCUGUGGCAGGCAUCCCACAUAGAAAAUAGAGGAAUAUGGGCACAAAAUUCUAUAAAGUCUGAGAUAAAAUACACACUGGAUGGGGGCUGGCCCGGUGGCAUAGUGGUUAAGUUUGUGCACUCCACUUUGGUGGCCCAGGGUUCAUGGGUUUGGAUCCCAGGCAUGCGGACAUACACACCACUCAUCAAGCCAUGUUGUGGUGGUGUCCCACAUACAAAAAAUACAGGAAGAUUGGCACAGAUGUUAGCUCAGAGCCAAUUUUCCUCACCAAAAAAAAAAAAAAAAACACACUGGAUGGGUAUCUGACUCAGCUUGGGCUGCUAUAACAAAUUACCAUAGAUUCAUGGCUUAAGCAACAUACACUUAUUUCUCACAAUUCUGGAAGUGGAGAAGUCCAAGAUCAAGGUACCGGUGGAUUCAGUGUCUGGUGACUAUCCUCUUCCUUCUUUGCAGACGUUGUCUUCUGGGUGUAUCCUCACAUGGUAGAGAGAGAGAACUAGUUCUCUGGUCUCUUUUUAUAAGGGCACUAAUACCAUCAUGAAGAGACCAUCCUCAUGAUCGUAUCUAAAUCGAAUUAUCUCCCAAAGGCUUCACUUCUUAACACCAAAACAUUGGGGGUUAGGAUUUCGAAAUAUAAAUGUUUGACAAACAUCUAGUCCAUAGUAGUGGAAUUAGCAGCAGAUUAGACAUAGCAGAGGAAACAAUUAGUGAAUUUUAAUACAUGGCAGUAGAAACACUCCAAAAUAAAACACACUGAGAAAAAAGACUCUUAAAAGAGAAAAAUGAAGGCAUUUAUCUGACAGAGCCAGAGAAGUUACUCUCUGCUGCUAAGGUUUUCACUACAGAUGCAAGAAAAAAGUGUCUGUGAGCUUCCUGUCUCUGAGUGCAGCAGCCAAGAUUGAAAGGGGGAAUAUAGGAAUUCUAAAACCAUGGGAGGGGGAUAAUUUUGUAACUUAGAAAUGACCUUGCAAACAGAAAGGAGUCUGUUUUUACCACAAAAAACAAAUCUAAAAUUUGAGAAAAUCUAAAGUUUUCCAUUUAUAUGGCAUUAGCCAGGAAAAUAGACUUGGAAUUUUUGCCUCUAACCAUAUUUUAGUGGAGUUUUAAAGUAUGUUCUAACUACAUUCAGGUCAAAGUGACAGGUCUGACAGUUAUGUUGUUGGAGGGUAUUAACUGAUGUUAGAAAAGUAUAUGUAAAUGUUAGUGGUAGUGAUAUUUGGAUCUUACCAAGGGAAAGGAGUGGUUAUAUUUUGAGAUGCAGGACAAGAGUUGACGGAAGAAAAGAGAGUAGGAGAAGGCCCUGGGGAGUGAGUGGUCCUCUCCCAGGAAGUUGAGGGGUUGACUGGUAUGAGGCAGGUGCCUUCUGGGGAAAAUAAUAAUCCCCAUUAAGUUUUAGAAUGAUACAGAUAGUAGUACUGUCUACCAGAUUUCUCUUUAGACUUGGUAGUAUAGGGUGCAUGUUUUGGCAAAGAGCAAGGAUCACAGGAUAAGCGGUCAGCAAGCUCAGAAACAUAAUAGAAUUGCUGAGAUCAAAGGAAGAAAUGCAAAAAUGUCCCCUGUCCAAUUUGUGCCUUAGGAGACGCAGCCCAUGGGUAUCUCUGCGACAGAGGUUUUAGCAUCUAGAAUGAAUUUGUCUCCAGUGCAGAGGAAAAAGGCAUCUCCAGUGGCGAGAUCUUGAGUUCAGCCAGUGGUGAGCUUCCGGGCCAGGGAGAGUCCAUCUGUGAGGUGGGACUGGAGUUUUCUUUUUUAAGUGAAUACCCACUUGGGUUGAUGUGGGUCUCAGCAUUUGCCAUGUUUGGUUGAAACAACAGCUUAUUUGGAGGAUUUGGGCCUCCAGAUUGUAAAUCAAUGAAACACCCAGACUGGGAGUAGUAAGACCAGCAGUCAUGGGAAUGGUGUGUGGCUGUGCCUGACAGGAUUUUUUUUGUUUUGGUCGAAAUUUAGGUUCAAAUGGGUCGCCUGUCAGAUAAAUAGCUACCUGGCUCAUGGCACAAUCUAUGGCUAAUAUAUCCCAGCAGAGCAUGUGCCCUCAGUCUGGCCUCCAGCCCUGAUGAGAUCCAGGCAGGUUCAAAAAUUUGUAAAGAUAAGUUAAAGUCUGAGCAACAUAAAGACUUGUUUAGGGGUUUCUCUGAUGGUCUGGAUUUCAAAAAGAGUUUUUGAGGAGACUCCUAUGUCCCUCAGUUAAACCCACUAUUUGGGACCUACUAGGGACAUGUGAGUUUUGAAGACCUUUUCUAAGAGCCCUGCAUUGUAUAUUUUGAAAAGUGAAAUGUGUGUCUUGGUUACUACCAAUGAUGUCUCUAAUCCUAAAAGAAAUAAGGAAUGUCCUGACAAGGCCUUGUAUUGUGGCCUUAGCAUAUGAAGAGACGUGUAAGAUUUUGAUUUACAUUUUGGGUAUGUGUGAGGCAAGGUUCCCAGAGUCUUUUACCUCAAAAGGGACAAUUUUUCGGUAAUGGCCAAAUAGCUUAUAAUAAAUGUGAAAAUGGAACCAUUAAUCGGCCAGGGCAUCCAGUGUUAAGAUGACUGCCUGAACUUAACUAAAUAUGUUGCCUUUUGGGUCCUAUCCUUUAUCAGGGAUAUCUUGGCCAAUCAAUGGAAAGCCACAACAUUCCAUGAGCUCCAUCACAUAUGAUAGUCAAUAGUACGAAUCACAUAGUCUAAGAACUCCCAUUGCUAUUUGCUGGGUUAAUCCCAAGGGGCUUCUUAGGUAGCUAAGCUGUCUGGGGGAGGGGUAACCUCCUUCACCACCAAGGCAUCUGCCAAGGGACUGAGGACAGGAGAAGCCACCCCCUCCCAUAGGUGGAAUAUGCCAGAGGGCUCAGAUAUGACUCCAUCCUGUCUUGAGGAGGCCUCUAUAGCCAUGCUGAGUUUGUGAGGUGCUCCUUCCGUGACCCAAAGUAUAAUGGGCAGCUGAGUAUGGAGAGUCACAGGUUCAGGGUCUGUAAGAGUUUCCAUUUCCAGGAGAGCCCAGUAUGAAGCUACCAACUGUUUUAAUGGUACGUUGCAUAAAGCCAAGAGGAACAGUUUCUUGUACUAGAAGCCCCUGAGCAACUAAUGGCCAUCCUAGGUAGUUCAGAGACUCCAGGUGGCCUGAGGAGAGAAAGAAAAUCUUUGUGACUUUGAGUUAGAAAUGAUUUCUUCAAAAUAAAACCAAAAGCAUGAUCCAUAAAGAUGAAAUAAAAGACAAUUUAGCUUCAUCAAAAUUUAAAACUGUGUUCUUCUAAAUACACUGUUGAAAAAUUUAAAAGACAAGCCACAGACUAGCGAAGGACUUGUAUCUAGAAUAUAGGAAGAAUUUUCAAGUUUCACAAUAAGAAAAUAAAGAACUCAUUAAAAAAUGUGCAAAAACGGUGAACCAACACUUCGAAGAAAGUAUAAAGAUGACAAAUGAACAUAUCAAAAUAUUUGGCAUCAUUAGUCAUCAGGGAAAUAAAGUUAAAACAGCAAUGAAAUACCACUACAUUCCAAUUCAAAUGUCUAAUACCAUGGAGCCAAAAAAAUUGAUCAUAGGAAGUGUUUUUGUGGAUAUGGAGGAACUGGAACUCUCAUCCAUUCCUGGUGGGGAUAUAAAAUGGUACAACCACUUUGGAAAACAGUUUGGCAUUUUCUUAAAAAGUUAAACAUCCAUCUCCCAUCUGACCCAGCCAUUCCAUAAAAAUAACUGUAUACAAAUGUUCAUAGCAGCUUUAUUUGUAAUAGGCCAAACUUAGGAACAAUCCAAAUGCCUAUCAAUAUGGGAUUGCAUAAAUAAAAUUUGAUGUAUCCAUAAAAUGGAUUAGUACAAAAAAGCAUAAAGAAUAUGCAACAAAAAAGAAUGAAGCAUCAAUGCAUGCAACAACAUGGCUAAACCUCAAAAUAAUUGUGCUGAGUGAAAUAAUCCGGAGAAAAGGGGACACACAUUGAGUGAUUUUAUUUAUGUAAAUCUGUAGAAUAUUUAAAUUAAUCGAAAAUGACAGAAAGCAAACAAGCAGUUGCUUGAAGGUGAGGGACGGGCAGCGACGGACAGAAGGAAAAAGUUCAGAGGUACAAGUAAACUUUUGGAGGUGCUGGCUGUGGCGAUGAUUUCACAGGUGUAUCUGUAUGUCAAAAUGUAUCAAAACGUGUCCUUUGAUUAUGGCCACUUUAUGCCUCAAUAAAACGAUUAUUUAGAGAUAUGCAAGGAGCACUAGUUGUAUUGGGAUGGGUUGGACUCCAAAGCCUGAUAGUCCCCAAAACUGAAAAAGAAAAAAAAAAUGGAGCAACUGGCAAUUAAAUGUUUUAAAAGGGAAGAAAUCUGUUGCUCUUGAUGAUAGAUUUUCGUUGCUAGUGCCCUGGGGUGGAUUUCUGCUGCUGGCGACCCUGUGUCCUGCAGAGCGGAGCACUGUCUGUUUUUUUUGCACCAUCCUCUCACCUUGCAGCGGUGCUAUAUCAGACAAUGCUCUGCUGCUCUUCAUAGGGUGUUCACUACCGAGGUUUUUAGAAGUGGGUGGCCAGGGCCUUCUUCAUAGUCUGUCUUAGUCUGGAAGCUCUGCUGACGAUUGUUCACCAAGGAUGAUCCUGCUGGUAUAUGAAAUACCGGCAGCAUAGCUUUUAGCAUCACAGCAGCACACAACAUCCACAGUGUGACAACCGACAGGUGGUGUGGUUCCCUGACUGGGAAAGGAACCCAGGUAUGGGCGGUGAGAGUGCGAAAUCUUAACCACUAGACCAGCAGGGCUGGCUGAAUGGCCCUGGACAAAUCAUGGAGCCCCUCUGCCACCCUGCUGUCUCCUCUGCACCUGCCUGGGGCUGGGGGCCCCAUGGGGCCGUGUUUAAGCCCUGCCCUGUGCUGAGCCGAAGCCUCCGCAGGUGACUCUGUGACCAGCAACCACCCCGUGGAACUGGGCCAGAGCCACUGCCAGACACCUGGCAGAACCACUGAUCAGAUGUCCCGAGGAUGAGCAUCCCCAUCAACCUCCUGUGUUUGAGUCUUGGGGAGGCCAAUCUUUUCCUCAGGUCCCAGGUCUCAUCAAAAGAGAGUCGGUGAUGUCAAUAAUGAAUCUCAGGACGUGUGCACAUGGCUCCCCAAGGAUAGAGCACAACCGGGAGCCUGCAGGCAUGCUCUGGGCCUGCGGCACACCUCACAGCGUCUGAAGAGGCCCAUGGCUCAAAGAUGGGAUGGGGUGUAAGGUAGAGGCUCCUCCUUCCUAAACUUGCACUGAUCUCAGCCCUUAUAACAAAGCCCUCAGGAAAUGAAUCCAGAUCCCAACCUCUCCCCAGAUGGAAGUUCAGAUAGGGGCAGGAUCCUGCUUGACUUGAUUCCCUGGCUUUGUGAUGUCAUUAAAGACCCAUAUUCUUUUCAUAUCUCCACACUGCCACAAUUUCCCCUGGGUCUGUCACACUUCUGCACAUCUUGCAAGCAGAGGCACUGACAGCUUUUGCUCCAGACCAUCUUUUCAAGGAUGCCCUGUUAGGGGCCUGGGGAGCCCAGCCAACUCAGCCUCACUUCCACACCCUGUCACCUGUUUUUCCAGCUGUCAUCACCUGGUGGCCCCAGAGUCUUCUUGGGGACCAGAUGAGGAGCAAGCUGUAGCCCGCCCUCAGCAGCCCCCUCACCAGGACAUGCCCUGUACCACCUUGGACGUCCUUGUCGUGGGUGAAGACAGGCAGCCCUGGCAUUGGGGCAGGCUCUGGAUGCUAAGCGCCUCCUGGAGCCCACCCAAGCUCCCUCCCCAGCAACUCCCUGUGGGCAAAGGGACAGGGCCCAUGGAAGAUGCCCUUCAGCACAGAUUUUCUUCUUUACCUCCAAAGAUGAAAGACUCCUACCAAAGGGAAGAAAUUUGCCUCAAGCUUUCAAAAUGUGAUAUCCACCUUCAUUACUUGUGCGCCAUUCCAGUCAACUGGAGCGAAAUCCAAGCAGAAUCAUCACCCGCGACCUUGCCUGCCAUUUAGAAAAUGAUUUCCCAAACCACAGAGGGUUAAUUCGGGGCACACUUCUCCAUACAAGGGUUUGUUUUUAUCUCUGAAGAGUCCAAGCCGGUGAUAACCAGGGCAAUAUCUUGUCCGACACUGAUAUUUCUGCUGUCAAAAAAACAAAACAAAAAACCAUAGUUGUUUUUUUUUUUCCCCUAAACCUCCCAUAUAAGGUCCCAAACUACAGCCCUGGGCCUGUGGGUUCCUCAG